This is a long non-coding RNA of Bombus terrestris (buff-tailed bumblebee), 1072 nucleotides long. RefSeq lists it as uncharacterized. The transcript is spliced from 2 exons. The record is from RefSeq and is a predicted model, not a curated record. Lineage: Eukaryota; Metazoa; Arthropoda; Insecta; Hymenoptera; Apidae.
UCGAGUUAUCCAAUUCCUAAACAAACUAUUCUUUUUUUUCGCAAGAACAUCAUUCGGCCGGAGCAGCUGGUUCCACGAUGCUCUUUAAAAGCAACAGCGAAAAUGUCUGUCGGGAAUGCGUUCCGCGCCCCAGACUUUGCUCUGCCCGAAUCUACGAAGAUUAAAUUACGCGUCUCCGGUAUUUGGAAUAUUUGCCUCGUUAUCUACUGGCUCGCUCGCCGGCAGUUCGUAAGAUUUACGAAUCUACUCGCGACUUAAUGCGACACAAGCUUUGAAUCACGUUGUUAAUACCGUGUCACUACUGCAUUUCGAGACGAAUUUCUCGGAAGGUCCGGAGAUUCUGAUAGCAGCGUCUGCGUUUAAUCUUCUAAUCGUGAAAAAAUAUUACACGGAAAGUUUUAUACCUUUGGAGGAGUUCGAAUGAUGACGGUAUCGGUGUUGGCUUGCCGAGGAUCAAUUUGCCCAAGAUUUUAACAUCUUGGGAUUAGAAAUGCAAUCAGGAUCAAACUCUGUGAAACGUUAUCUCAAAGAACAGUUGGUAAACGUUAACGUGUUAACACAUAUCACUACUUUCCUUCUCCCUAUUUUUGUACAAUCCUUCUGUUUUAUUUGAACCAAUUAACAGCGGCAUUUAAUCUCAGAAUCUUCUCAUGGGGUUCAAGCGACGACGAGUAUACUCGUCAAACGCAGUCGACUGGUUAAUCGAAUCAUAAAAAUGAACGAACAAAAUAAUCUUGAAACUAGUAUUUUGUUGAACAACUAUGAUAAGAGACCGCGAAAGACAAUUGAUCGCUAGUCAGCGUAUAGUGCGUACUCGCUAACUGUCCAAAAGUUAGUUCAAGAUUUCGCAAUGGAAUUGCCAUGUGGCUAAGUGUCGGAUCGUUAGAAUCGUAGCUUUUUCAUGCAAGAGCUCGAUGCAAUAAGAUUCAAUUUUCCAUAUAUAGUAACAAUUAUUUCAGAUUAUUAUUUUAUUUUCGAUGAUUUGGCUAGAAAAGACAGCGAGUGUUUGAAAUAAUAAUGUGCAAUUGAUCUUAUGUAAAAUAGGCGAAGUAAACUUCAAUGUCUAUACAAA